RNAcentral lists this ribosomal RNA (466 nucleotides) under uncultured bacterium. RNAcentral describes it as "bacterial SSU rRNA". It matches the Rfam family "Bacterial small subunit ribosomal RNA", at positions 339 to 797 of the family's 1533-position model. The record is from RNAcentral.
CUACGGAAGGCAGCAGUGGGGAAUAUUGCACAAUGGGCGAAAGCCUGAUGCAGCCAUGCCGCGUGUGUGAAGAAGGCCUUCGGGUUGUAAAGCACUUUAGGCGGGGAGGAAAAGCGUACGGUUAAUAACCGUGCGCCGUGACGUUACCCGCAGAAUAAGCACCGGCUAACUCCGUGCCAGCAGCCGCGGUAAUACGGAGGGUGCGAGCGUUAAUCGGAAUUACUGGGCGUAAAGCGCGCGUAGGCGGUUUGAUAAGCGGAGUGUGAAAUCCCCGGGCUUAACCUGGGAACUGCAUUCCGAACUGUCGAGCUAGAGUAUGAGAGAGGGUGGCGGAAUUCCGAGUGUAGCGGUGAAAUGCGUAGAUAUUCGGAGGAACACCAGUGGCGAAGGCGGCCACCUGGAUCAAUACUGACGCUGAGGCGCGAAAGCGCGGGUAGCAAACAGGAUUAGAUACCCGUGUAGUCCU